GACGAACGCUGGCGGCGUGCUUAACACAUGCAAGUCGAACGGAAAGGCCCUGCUUUUGUGGGGUGCUCGAGUGGCGAACGGGUGAGCAACACGUGAGUAACCUGCCCUUGACUUUGGGAUAACUUCAGGAAACUGGGGCUAAUACCGGAUAGGAGCUCCUGCUGCAUGGUGGGGGUUGGAAAGUUUCGGCGGUUGGGGAUGGACUCGCGGCUUAUCAGCUUGUUGGUGGGGUAGUGGCUUACCAAGGCUUUGACGGGUAGCCGGCCUGAGAGGGUGACCGGCCACAUUGGGACUGAGAUACGGCCCAGACUCCUACGGGAGGCAGCAGUGGGGAAUAUUGCACAAUGGGCGGAAGCCUGAUGCAGCAACGCCGCGUGCGGGAUGACGGCCUUCGGGUCGUAAACCGCUUUCGCCUGUGACGAAGCGUGAGUGACGGUAAUGGGUAAAGAAGCACCGGCUAACUACGUGCCAGCAGCCGCGGUGAUACGUAGGGUGCGAGCGUUGUCCGGAUUUAUUGGGCGUAAAGGGCUCGUAGGUGGUUGAUCGCGUCGGAAGUGUAAUCUUGGGGCUUAACCCUGAGCGUGCUUUCGAUACGGGUUGACUUGAGGAAGGUAGGGGAGAAUGGAAUUCCUGGUGGAGCGGUGGAAUGCGCAGAUAUCAGGAGGAACACCAGUGGCGAAGGCGGUUCUCUGGGCCUUUCCUGACGCUGAGGAGCGAAAGCGUGGGGAGCGAACAGGCUUAGAUACCCUGGUAGUCCACGCUGUAAACGGUGGGUACUAGGUGUGGGGUCCAUUCCACGGGUUCCGUGCCGUAGCUAACGCUUUAAGUACCCCGCCUGGGGAGUACGGCCGCAAGGCUAAAACUCAAAGGAAUUGACGGGGCCCCGCACAAGCGGCGGAGCAUGCGGAUUAAUUCGAUGCAACGCGUAGAACCUUACCUGGGUUUGACAUGGAUCGGGAGUGCUCAGAGAUGGGUGUGCCUCUUUUGGGGUCGGUUCACAGGUGGUGCAUGGCUGUCGUCAGCUCGUGUCGUGAGAUGUUGGGUUAAGUCCCGCAACGAGCGCAACCCUUGUUCACUGUUGCCAGCACGUUAUGGUGGGGACUCAGUGGAGACCGCCGGGGUCAACUCGGAGGAAGGUGGGGAUGACGUCAAGUCAUCAUGCCCCUUAUGUCCAGGGCUUCACGCAUGCUACAAUGGCUGGUACAGAGAGUGGCGAGCCUGUGAGGGUGAGCGAAUCUCGGAAAGCCGGUCUCAGUUCGGAUUGGGGUCUGCAACUCGACCUCAUGAAGUCGGAGUCGCUAGUAAUCGCAGAUCAGCAACGCUGCGGUGAAUACGUUCCCGGGGCU
RNAcentral lists this ribosomal RNA (1346 nucleotides) under uncultured bacterium. RNAcentral describes it as "partial 16S ribosomal RNA". It matches the Rfam family "Bacterial small subunit ribosomal RNA", at positions 28 to 1381 of the family's 1533-position model. The record is from RNAcentral.